This 236-nucleotide ribosomal RNA is filed under the name uncultured bacterium. Its description in RNAcentral is "partial 16S ribosomal RNA". It matches the Rfam family "Bacterial small subunit ribosomal RNA", at positions 118 to 354 of the family's 1533-position model. The record is from RNAcentral.
UGAGCAAUCUGCCCUUCUCUUCGGAAUAAGCGUGGGAAACCGCGUCUAAUGCCGAAUACGACCUCCUUUCGCAUGAUCGGAGGUGGAAAGCUCCGGCGGAGAAGGAUGAGCUCGCGGCCUAUCCGCUAGUUGGUGUGGGUAAUGGCCCACAAGGCGACGACGGGUAGCCGGCCUGAGAGGGUGACCGGCCACACUGGGACUGAGACACGGCCCAGACUCCGUACGGGNGCAGCAGG